GACGAACGCUGGCGGCGUGCUUAACACAUGCAAGUCGAACGGAAAGGCCCUGCUUUUGUGGGGUGCUCGAGUGGCGAACGGGUGAGUAACACGUGAGUAACCUGCCCUUGACUUUGGGAUAACUUCAGGAAACUGGGGCUAAUACCGGAUAGGAGCUCCUGCUGCAUGGUGGGGGUUGGAAAGUUUCGGCGGUUGGGGAUGGACUCGCGGCUUAUCAGCUUGUUGGUGGGGUAGUGGCUUACCAAGGCUUUGACGGGUAGCCGGCCUGAGAGGGUGACCGGCCACAUUGGGACUGAGAUACGGCCCAGACUCCUACGGGAGGCAGCAGUGGGGAAUAUUGCACAAUGGGCGGAAGCCUGAUGCAGCAACGCCGCGUGCGGGAUGACGGCCUUCGGAUUGUAAACCGCUUUCGCCUGUGACGAAGCGUGAGUGACGGUAAUGGGUAAAGAAGCACCGGCUAACUACGUGCCAGCAGCCGCGGUGAUACGUAGGGUGCGAGCGUUGUCCGGAUUUAUUGGGCGUAAAGGGCUCGUAGGUGGUUGAUCGCGUCGGAAGUGUAAUCUUGGGGCUUAACCCUGAGCGUGCUUUCGAUACGGGUUGACUUGAGGAAGGUAGGGGAGAAUGGAAUUCCUGGUGGAGCGGUGGAAUGCGCAGAUAUCAGGAGGAACACCAGUGGCGAAGGCGGUUCUCUGGGCCUUUCCUGACGCUGAGGAGCGAAAGCGUGGGGAGCGAACAGGCUUAGAUACCCUGGUAGUCCACGCUGUAAACGGUGGGUACUAGGUGUGGGGUCCAUUCCACGGGUUCCGUGCCGUAGCUAACGCUUUAAGUACCCCGCCUGGGGAGUACGGCCGCAAGGCUAAAACUCAAAGGAAUUGACGGGGCCCCGCACAAGCGGCGGAGCAUGCGGAUUAAUUCGAUGCAACGCGUAGAACCUUACCUGGGUUUGACAUGGAUCGGGAGUGCUCAGAGAUGGGUGUGCCUCUUUUGGGGUCGGUUCACAGGUGGUGCAUGGCUGUCGUCAGCUCGUGUCGUGAGAUGUUGGGUUAAGUCCCGCAACGAGCGCAACCCUUGUUCACUGUUGCCAGCACGUUAUGGUGGGGACUCAGUGGAGACCGCCGGGGUCAACUCGGAGGAAGGUGGGGAUGACGUCAAGUCAUCAUGCCCCUUAUGUCCAGGGCUUCACGCAUGCUACAAUGGCUGGUACAGAGAGUGGCGAGCCUGUGAGGGUGAGCGAAUCUCGGAAAGCCGGUCUCAGUUCGGAUUGGGGUCUGCAACUCGACCUCAUGAAGUCGGAGUCGCUAGUAAUCGCAGAUCAGCAACGCUGCGGUGAAUACGUUCCCGGGGCU
RNAcentral lists this ribosomal RNA (1346 nucleotides) under uncultured bacterium. RNAcentral describes it as "partial 16S ribosomal RNA". It matches the Rfam family "Bacterial small subunit ribosomal RNA", at positions 28 to 1381 of the family's 1533-position model. The record is from RNAcentral.